GCGAGUGAAGCGGCAAGAGCUCAGAUUUGAAAUCGUGCUUUGCGGCACGAGUUGUAGAUUGCAGGUUGGAGUCUGUGUGGAAGGCGGUGUCCAAGUCCCUUGGAACAGGGCGCCUAGGAGGGUGAGAGCCCCGUGGGAUGCCGGCGGAAGCAGUGAGGCCCUUCUGACGAGUCGAGUUGUUUGGGAAUGCAGCUCCAAGCGGGUGGUAAAUUCCAUCUAAGGCUAAAUACUGGCGAGAGACCGAUAGCGAACAAGUACUGUGAAGGAAAGAUGAAAAGCACUUUGAAAAGAGAGUGAAACAGCACGUGAAAUUGUUGAAAGGGAAGGGUAUUGCGCCCGACAUGGGGAUUGCGCACCGCUGCCUCUCGUGGGCGGCGCUCUGGGCUUUCCCUGGGCCAGCAUCGGUUCUUGCUGCAGGAGAAGGGGUUCUGGAACGUGGCUCUUCGGAGUGUUAUAGCCAGGGCCAGAUGCUGCGUGCGGGGACCGAGGACUGCGGCCGUGUAGGUCACGGAUGCUGGCAGAACGGCGCAACACCGCCC
RNAcentral lists this ribosomal RNA (539 nucleotides) under Pichia kudriavzevii. RNAcentral's name for it is "eukaryotic LSU rRNA". It matches the Rfam family "Eukaryotic large subunit ribosomal RNA", at positions 89 to 650 of the family's 3401-position model. Lineage: Eukaryota; Fungi; Ascomycota; Pichiomycetes; Pichiales; Pichiaceae. The record is from RNAcentral.